RNAcentral lists this ribosomal RNA (492 nucleotides) under uncultured bacterium. RNAcentral describes it as "partial 16S ribosomal RNA". It matches the Rfam family "Bacterial small subunit ribosomal RNA", at positions 29 to 507 of the family's 1533-position model. The record is from RNAcentral.
AGUGAACGCUGGCGGUAGGCCUAACACAUGCAAGUCGAACGGCAGCACAGUAAGAGCUUGCUCUUACGGGUGGCGAGUGGCGGACGGGUGAGGAAUACAUCGGAAUCUACUUUUUCGUGGGGGAUAACGUAGGGAAACUUACGCUAAUACCGCAUACGACCUACGGGUGAAAGCAGUGGAUCUUCGGACCUUUCGCGAUUGAAUGAGCCGAUGUCGGAUUAGCUAGUUGGCGGGGUAAAGGCCCACCAAGGCGACGAUCCGUAGCUGGUCUGAGAGGAUGAUCAGCCACACUGGAACUGAGACACGGUCCAGACUCCUACGGGAGGCAGCAGUGGGGAAUAUUGGACAAUGGGCGCAAGCCUGGUCCAGCCAUACCGCGUGGGUGAAGAAGGCCUUCGGGUUGUAAAGCCCUUUUGUUGGGAAAGAAAAGCAGCAGGUUAAUACCCCGCUGUUCUGACGGUACCCAAAGAAUAAGCACCGGCUAACUUCGUG